CAUUCGAGGUCAAGUGAGUAUUUGGCCUAUUUCCAGCUCUCACUUGCUUGACAAACAACUCGGUGACAAUCCUUGUAUUCUCAAUGUUCCAUUCAGCAACCAUGUUGGACAAUUCUAUAUAGAAGUUCAUGUCACUGUGUGUGCUAAAAAAGAUUGUAUGCACUCAUUUAUAAAUCUGUACAGCGACUACUUCCUCUAAAAAGAUUGUAUACUCUCAUAUAAAUCUGAACCUCAUCCAUGUCAUCUGAAAUUAAGAACAUGAAAAAAAACAGUGUGGGAGACUGCCUAAACUAUGUCAUCUGAACAUAUUUAAAAUGAUAGAGGGACUACCUCAACUAUGUCAUAUAGAAAUCGGUACAGGGUACAUCCAAAAAUAGGAACCAAAGGGACUCAUCUGGCCAUCCUAAAAUCUGAACCAAAUGGCCUCAUCUGCACAUCCUAAACUCUGAACCAAAUGGUCUGACUGCAUGUAACAUGAACUGAAUGGAGAUGGGGAGGGGUUGUGCAUACGCACAAGCUCACCUUGAGCUUCUGGAGCGGCGCCGGCGGGGCAGAGGAGCAAGGCCGACAACCUUAGGCGGUGCCGGCUGCUGACAGGUUGGGGUGGCGAGACAGAGGAAGG
This 622-nucleotide long non-coding RNA is filed under the name Triticum aestivum (bread wheat). RNAcentral's name for it is "long non-coding RNA (TAES_LNC027916)". Lineage: Eukaryota; Viridiplantae; Streptophyta; Magnoliopsida; Poales; Poaceae. The record is from RNAcentral.